GAUUAGCCAUGCUAGUCGUACGAGUUCACACUCGUGGCGAAUAGCUCAGUAACACGUGGCCAAACUACCCUUCGGAGAACAAUACCCUCGGGAAACUGAGGCUAAUAGUUCAUGCCAUACCACCACUGGAAUGAGUGGUAUGCCAAACGCUCCGGCGCCGAAGGAUGUGGCUGCGGCCGAUUAGGUAGACGGUGGGGUAACGGCCCACCGUGCCAAUAAUCGGUAUGGGUCAUGAGAGUGAGAACCCAGAGACGGAAUCUGAGACAAGAUUCCGGGCCCUACGGGGCGCAGCAGGCGCGAAACCUUUACACUGCACGACAGUGCGAUAGGGGGAUCCCAAGUGCACAGGCAUAGCGCCUGUGCUUUUCGGUACCCUAAGGCGGUACCAGAAUAAGGGCUGGGCAAGACCGGUGCCAGCCGCCGCGGUAAUACCGGCAGCCCAAGUGAUGGCCGAUCUUAUUGGGCCUAAAGCGUCCGUAGCUGGCCACGCAAGUCCAUCGGGAAAUCCACCUGCCCAACAGGUGGGCGCCCGGUAGAAACUGCGUGGCUUGGGACCGGAAGGCGCGACGGGUACGUCCGGGGUAGGAGUGAAAUCCCGUAAUCCUGGACGGACCGCCGAUGGCGAAAGCACGUCGCGAGAACGGAUCCGACAGUGAGGGACGAAAGCCAGGGUCUCGAACCGGAUUAGAUACCCGGGUAGUCCUGGCCGUAAACAAUGUCUGCUAGGUGUGGCUCCCACUACGAGUGGGUGCUGUGCCGCAGGGAAGCCGCUAAGCAGACCGCCUGGGAAGUACGUCCGCAAGGAUGAAACUUAAAGGAAUUGGCGGGGGAGCACUACAACCGGAGGAGCUGCGGUUAAUGAU
This 863-nucleotide ribosomal RNA is filed under the name Halorubrum sp. RNAcentral describes it as "bacterial SSU rRNA". It matches the Rfam family "Archaeal small subunit ribosomal RNA", at positions 43 to 908 of the family's 1478-position model. Lineage: Archaea; Methanobacteriati; Methanobacteriota; Halobacteria; Halobacteriales; Haloferacaceae. The record is from RNAcentral.